GGCUGGUCUGAAGGUAGUGAGCUAUCUCAAUUGAUUGUUCACAGUCAGUUACAGAUCAGAUUCCUUGUUCUACUCUUUGCCCUCUUCCCACUACUGCACUUGACGGGUCUUGA
Molecule: Y RNA, 113 nt
Organism: Callithrix jacchus (white-tufted-ear marmoset)
Lineage: Eukaryota; Metazoa; Chordata; Mammalia; Primates; Cebidae
Rfam family: Y RNA
About the family: Y RNAs are components of the Ro ribonucleoprotein particle (Ro RNP), in association with Ro60 and La proteins.
Source: Ensembl